Myiozetetes cayanensis is the source of this 13208-nucleotide long non-coding RNA. RefSeq lists it as uncharacterized. Lineage: Eukaryota; Metazoa; Chordata; Aves; Passeriformes; Tyrannidae. The transcript is spliced from 2 exons. The record is from RefSeq and is a predicted model, not a curated record.
CGGGCGGAGGUCGGGGCGAGGCUGCUGCGGUCCCGGCCGGGGGCGGUGCCGGGCGGGCAGGGUAGGCCGCUCUGUGCAGCGCAGUUGCCGGGGCGGCUCCGGUGGCUCUAGGGGCUGUGCCCCUUGUGCUGUCCCGGGAGAGGGGUCCGUGCGGGGCUGUGCCAACCGCGGCGCUUGGCCAUGGGACCAAAUAAGGGCCGGGGGUUAAAGAGCAGCUCUGCCCUUGGUGGGGGAGGCCGUCAGAAGGGAGCAGGCUGGGUCAUGCCCUUAUCACAUGCCAGGUGACAGGUUGCGUUUGCUGGUUUGAGGCUUUUUUUCAGGGUUGUAGCUUCUGUCUGAUGUCUGAUAAUUGCACUAAUGGUGUUUGACUGUCGUAGACGUGGGGCUUAGUGUGACCAGCAGGAGGAGCUUUGCUUCCUCCUAGAGGCAGCUACCCUCAGUAUGUCUGGAAAAGGGUAGAAUUAGAUUAGAUAUAAAGAAGACAUUUUUUAUUUCAAGGAUGGUGAUGCAUAGGAGGCUGCCUGGAGAACUUGUGGCUGCCUCAUCCCAAAGCCAGGCUGGAUGGGGCUCUGAGCAACCUGGUCUAGUGGAAGGUGCCCCUGCCUAUGGCAGGGGUGUUGCAACUCGGUGGUCUUUAGAGUCCCUUCUAACCCAGACCUAUGACCCUGUGUCCAUAGAGGCGUAAAUCAGCCUUGAAAAAGCUGAGAGAAUGGAUGAGAUGAGACAUCUCAGCAGUUGAGCUAACUUGCUUGCCCAUUAUCUUACCUGUGCUUGCUGUCUAGUGUUGGCGUGGCUUAGCCAGCUGACUAGGUUCUGUCUUAGUUUCAACAUACCUUCUGGCUGGCAUCUAGGAGGUAGGCUAGAAUUUUGACCAGCAGGUUUUAGACUUAAUUGUACUGAACGUCAUCCCUGCUUUUGCUAGGCUUUUGUGUUGGGGAAUGGGAAAUAAUCGGCUCACCAAAAGAGAGAGUAGUCAAAACUCUGUUAGGCUUAAGGGGACCAGAGUUCCCUGAAACGAUGUGUAGAAGACCUUUGAUGUAAACUGGACAGGAGGAUGCUCAAGAUUAGGUGAACUGUGAGUGAAAUAAAGGGGCAGUGGCAUGAUGACUUCACAGUUACAACAGUUGUCCACAGUAGGUUUUAGCCCUGUGCUUAUAUCUAUGCAGCUGAUACCUGGUACUGAUGGUAAGUAUUGCAGUGGAAUAAUCUAGGGUAAGCUCAAUUGUCUUUUCUAUAACUGGCAGCAAACACGUAUAUGAAAUCUGCAUCCAGGAUGAUCUGCUGGCCUAAUGACAGUAUGUUUUGUUCCUUAAACUGGUUUAGAAACAAUUGCUUUUACCUACAGUGGUUUUCCUCUCUCCCUUCCCAUCUCACUGGAGUCAGUGCUGCUGCUCUGAGGAGGUUGCAGUGCACCUCACUUUGCAGGAAGUUUUACUUCAUUGUUUUUACUGUUGUUUAUACCUUGUUUCUUUAUCUCUAGAUUCCCUGAUGUCUCAGCAAAGAGUUGCUAUAGCGUAUCAAAAUGUAGGAAAAAGGAAAUUACUUCAGAAACUACCCAAGUGAAUGCCUGAUGAAAGAGACAAGUAAAACAGUUUUCUCUGUGUGUGUAGUUCACUUCAAUCAGCUUGGUGCUGUCUGAUACUUGUCAGUGUAUGGAUUUUACUCAUUGUUGACAAGUUGUUAGAAAUGUUAAUCAUGAAACCUAUUUUCUAUGUGUCAAACUCGGAUACUCUGUUCACCUGAAAGUGCUAAUGCACAAGUCUCUCCUGACCCAACAGAUCUUCGUUGCAAGACCCACAAGAAGCUUACAGUCCUAUUGCAGAAAUAAGCGUUUUGUUGGCUUUUCAUAUGAAAAUAUACAAGGUGAUGAUAGAAUUGAAAGCCUGCCUUUGGCUUUUCCUAAACACGUGGGUGUGCUCUACUUUAAUGCUGUUAAUGGAAACUUACUCUGGUGUGUGUCUGGUCCUCAGCCUAUGAAGCUGAUAUGUUUGUCUGUACUUGCACUACUAUGCUGACAUCCUACACUGCAAAAGCUAUGGAUUUUCUUUGCUAGUGAUCACUUUGAAGUGAUUUUUAUCACUGUGGACUCAGGUAAGCAGCCACCCAGUUUCCUGAAGACCCGGAGAAAGAGUUGAAAGAUCCUGCAGGAGGUGUGAGGAAGAUGCGGAUAAGUAGAAAUGUGUGAUGACUUAAAGAAGAAAUUGCUUAAUCAAAGUUUAGGUUAAUAUGUAGAAACUUGUCUUUGUGUCACAGCUUUCAUUCUGACAAGUUUUCUCUUAAUGAAAACAUCAAGGGUUUGGAUGCUCUAAAUUGAGCAGUCACUGGGUACUGUACUAAGCCAGCUGUGCAGUCUGCAUGAGAUAGAUUUCGAGAUGAAGUGUACAAACAGAUUAUAAUGUAAUUUUUAUAAGUUGUCUGGUGUUAUAAUAUCACACUGUCAACAUCCAUGGCAGCGCAGCACAGAAAACUGGCAGCGUCUUGGGGUUGUCUUGGUUCUUGCAAACUCACUGUCAGACCUAAUCUAAUUCCUAGUAUGCACAUUAGCAUUAGUGGAAUGUAGUUUGUAAGGAUGAUUGAUACCAUCUAUGCCACUCUUAGCAUGUGAGUUUUGUUUUAAAAUCCAAUUUUCUUAAGUAUGCCAGCUAUAAAACUUGGUUGUCUACAGUCCCAGCUGCUUAUUUCAAAGCCUGUGGUGGAAGGGUGUUAACUCUUUACUGCUCAGAUGAUGGAGGAUGAAGAAGCUGCAAUGAAAGUUGGUUGGUUGGUUGCAGUUGUCUCCCAUGGAGCUAUUUCACAAAAAUAGCUGGAUCUGCAAGUUGAAAAGUGAGAGGGUGAAUUUAACUUGGUAGAAUAGGUAAGUACUUCUAUAUCGUGUUACUGUUUCCAAGUAUCUUAAUCAUAGCACAGAAUACAUUGUGUUGUCUUUGUUCUUUGACAGGGAGAGCUUUGAAAACCAGGAAAGACUGGAAGGCUUCUAUGUCUUUUUUAAGUGUUCUCAAUAAAAUUGUGGGGAGGAAGUAUCUGGAAGAGCCUAGUAUUCCCACAUAGCAAAAGGAGUUGGUAAAGCUGCUCUAGAAAUAAUUCUAGUGACUAAUUAUGAAGUGUUACCUUUUUGUUUUGUUUUUUUUUUGUCUUUCAGCAGAAGAAGAGUGCUCUAAGAGCAGUCAAGAACCUUUUCAGUUAGUGUGAACAUGUUCUUCAACCAAGACAUGGCAGCAGUUCAGUAGCAGUUACACAACAGGAAAGGGUGUGCAAGCUACUGCAGGUCCCUGGGUUCAUAAGAUCUGGUAUCUGAAAGAACUCGCUAGAGAGAAGAAUCUUGAGUUGAAAAGAGAGCUAAUACUGAAACAGGAAAUUGAUUUCAUUGUAGAUACUGGAGAUGAUCAUCACAACGUGCAGGACUUUAAAGUGUUAGGACACUGUGAAAAACUGUAGGUAGUUUGAGUACAAGAGACUCCAGGACUCCAGUUGUGGGAAGUUCCCUUUUGGGAAGGCACACUAGCAAUGGGGAAAACUUGCUAAACACAAGGAGACUCAAAAUGUUCUAUGGCUGUUCCUUAGCUGCACAUGAAUAUAUCUCUUAAGGUGGGAUGGUGUGACAUGACCACUGAAGACUAUAGGGCUGUAAGCAGACCACAUUUCUCUUAAGAGCAUAUGUGCCACUGCCCAGUUCAGAAGCACCCCAACAGCUUCAAGUUUUGUCACAUAAUAGUAUUUCCUGGAACAAUAGCAUUUCUUGGUCCGCCUCCUGCAAAGCCAGCUGGCUGAUGGCAGCACUGCAGUGAAGAUGAGCCUUCCCCACCCACAAGUUUUUGAAGACUUGCACAGAAAAUGACUCAGACAGGCUCCAGAGCUGAGCAUAAAUCCUUUAGCUGCCACUGUUGUAGUUUUAAUAUACACGAUGGGUGCCCUGAGUGCUUCCAUGUGGAACAAGAAACACUCGGGCUGCGUGUUUAGAUGUGCUUUGUGUGUGCACUGCCCUCUGCAGCACAAAGCAUGAUCAAGCCCUGGUAUUGCAUAAAGCAGGUGAGGGUAUCGUGCUAAAGUUGUGCUUGGAUUGGACCUCACUCAGUUGCCACUAAUCAUGGAAAGGUCUAUUUUUGUUGUGUAGUGGUAAACCUGAGUUGGUAACCGAUACUGCUCAGCUGAUGUGUCUGUGCCAGGUGAGCAGUCCGUGACCUGACAAAUCAUUGACCGUGGUACUAGCUCUUACUCCUUUCAAAAUAAUAAAAAGGGGAUGGAGGGAAGAGGCAGCAGAGGAUUUUUUAAGGGUCACAUAAAUUCUACUGAAAUUAAAAGCUCACUAAAAAUACCUUAGUGGAAACAAUACAUUUUAGGAAAUGAUGACUCCUAUGACAAGAGCAAUGUGAGCCUUUAGUUAUGGCAAGUUUCCAGUGCUGUUCCUUGUCCCUAUUUUUGUGAGGGUGUGGGUGAAAAGUGUUACACACAGGGGGAGUGAUAGCCAUAACCAGAGGUUAAAAUUUAAUUUUAGCAACUAUAGUUUUAUGUCAAAUGAUGCACCAUUAUUUAUUUUCUUUAAAAGUCCUUCAAAAGUCCUUCAACUAAAUUGUUAGGCUGGAGUCUCUGAUUAUGCAUGCAAGUGUUCUCAGGUUCUCCAGCUAUUUGGAUGCAGUGGUGCAACAUUUUAUUUUGAUUCCUGUAUUAUUCAGCUUAAAACACUAGCUUGGGCAGGUGAAUACCUAUGCAACGGUAUUGCAGUCAGAGCACUCCUUAAUGUACACAAACCAUUUCCUUUGGGUAAGUGAAAAAGCACACAACUCCUGGGACAGCAGCAUUUGAUAGUGGCUAUACCGGAAUUCCCUAGGUUUGUACUCUUCUUUGGUCUUUUUACCCAAACUUUUAGCUUUUCAGUACAUUGUCACUAGAUGGCCACCUCAUUAUUUCUGGGGGGGUGUGGGGGGUUUGCCAUUUCUUUUGCAAGUGCCUCUUCCUGGAAAACUGGCAACCACAGUGAGUAUCACAGUUCCUGGCCAAGUUUCUGCUCACAUGGUUUCACUUGCUCCAUGUUGUUAUUUACAUGCAGUGUCCUAAGCAUAUAAUUUAGUGGAGUGCUAGUGAGUAGCUAACGUUAGUGUCUGGGCUGCAGUCCGUGUAGGUUAGGUUUGCACAAGCCUCCUGCUUCAUUAAUUCAAUGGCUGCUCUUUUAGCCUUUGAUUUCCUAGUGCACAGUUUUAUGGAAAAAAAAAGUCUUGCUCUGCUCUUGCAGCAGGUUAGGGACUGGCACACUAGGGUUGGUCACUUUACCUGCUGAGUUGCGUGACCCAGAACUGCUGCUGUGCCUUGUUUUGCAUGCACAAGACCUAGGGCUUGCAAGGUGAGAAGGAUACGUUCUUUGUCUUUAAUAGGUCUGAUGUCCUGCAGGACAGGAGAGGUUUUUCUAAAGGAGCAUAGAGGUGUGAAGCUGGUGACUUACUCUGCCUUGCUCAAGGCAGUCAUACCGUCAGGUUCUGGUUUCAUGCGUAUCAGAGCCCUUUUUUUUUCCAGUGGAGCCUCUUUGGUCAUGCAUUCCUAGGAGGUGUAUUACUUGAGCUCCCUGCUUUGAGCUCUUGAACAGUCUGGUUGCACGAUGCAGAGGCUGUGAUGGUACUGCUAGUUUAAGGAGUUGGUGUUACCAUCUGCUGCUUGCCUUCCCGUGCUGCAGUACACUGUUCCCUUUUGUGCCAGUGCAACUACCUGGAGUGGCAUAGCAAGUUACUGAGUUGUUGACACAGUCCCUGUGUGUGCUUUUCUGUGGGUCAUGGUAGAAGUGGAGGAGGUUUGCAGUACUGCAGCUUUAUAAAGCCUGAAUCAGGUUUGUGAGCUGGUUUAGAGCAUUUGCAACACAGCACAAAAACCAGGUGGCCAAAUGUAUGACGAAGCCAGAAGUCCUUGGGCUUGUUGUUGAAGCCUCUUUUCAUUAAAUUGUGCAUUUAAGGAUGCACUUCAGUUUUGGGGGGAGAAGCAGAAGGAUUUCCCUUGUACACAUGGGUGCUUUUGUUAACCGUUUUUCUGUGUUAGGUCUUGUGACGCAGCCUUUUUGUGGUUUUGCUGCAUGUAACCUGACCAGGCAGCGGCAGCUCAAGAAACCCUGUCGUCUGUAAGCAGCACUAGUUCAUUGUAGUCCAGACAAAUCUCAGCGUGAACAGAGAGCUGGAGUAAGACUUGGAACAGUUUUAAGUUCGGGUUUGUUUUUUUUCUUACUGAGAGUACCAAUAUAUUUUCCUAUGAUGGAACUAAUUCUUACAAUUGGGGAGUUAUACAUUACCCCUGCACACAUAGCCAAAUAUAAUUUUAUAUUUAAUGGCAGAGUAGGUCUGCAAAAGAAUUAGGUAUUAAAAUGUUCCACGUAUAAUAGAUGAAAAGCUAAUCCCAGUUUCCUCCUGCUACCAAUGAAGUUGGCUGCUCUGCCAUGAACUCUUACUAUGCAAAUAUGAUUUCCUGCCUCCGUUUUGAUAAUGGUGAAUGUUGCUCUCUGGUGAGGACAACGUGGUGGCAGCUGUUUCAGAGUAAUGAGCAGUGGCUUCACUACAUGCUCUGCUUUAGCGGAUGUCAGCUAAAAUAGCAAUUGCAUCUCCCAAGAGUUAGAUUGUUGCUGUUCCUAACCUUUGUAGAGAAACAUGCAAAGUACGGGCAGGCGCAGUCCUCAGGUGAAUUGGCAGAGGGUGUUGUGCAGCCAAGUGGUUACUGUGUCUCAGCAGGGAUGAAUGGCAGGGAUGAGCUUUACUAGCUCAGAUCAGUGAGGUCUAUUUGGCCUCUUGCAAACUCCUGCCCACUGAAAGCUACUUUGACCUCCAGGGUCAAAGGGUAGAUUGUGACUGCAGCAACUUCUGUCCCAGUGCUAUGUCCUGGGAAAAAAGGAGGUGAGGAAAUGGACUUUUAGUAGGCCCAAUGAAAAUAAAUGGAUUUUCUUUUCAUUAUAAAUAAUAUAUUUAUACAGUAAUUUAUAAGUACAUUUAUAGCGUAAAUAUAUUUAUAAAUACAUAUCUGGAAAUACAUGCAUAUAUGCAUAUAAAAGGUAUAUAUUUAAAUACAUUUGUAUACAUUAUUGUAUAAUCAUAAUCUAACACUUCAUAAAAUAUAAAUUAGUUGGGAGAAUCUUGGAAAAGUAGAGUAGCUUUGUCUUGCUGACAGACUUGUGGGAUAGAGAAGCCGUUCCCUCUUGAGAACAAAUCAGACAUGAAUGUCUGGUCCCCAACAAAUACAGUUUGUGUUAAUUAUUUUGUUAAAAUGUCCAAUGACAUCUGUCUUUUAAGCUCUCAUUCUUGAGAAGGUUGUUUGAUUGUGGAUUAACCUUGUCAUGAGUCAAUACUCAUGAGUAUUGAGGCAUGUGAUAUGCUUGGCCAUGGAACUAGGUAUGUGUGAGGUCUCUCACAAGUUUCUGUCAACACUCUGAGUGUUGUGGCUCUGUGGGUUGGAUAACAUUGCUGCCAUUCAUUCUGAGUGGUGUUGCAGCUUCAUUUACAUGGGUUUGACGGUAUCUCAGAUAUCCCAGCGCUUUGCUAUAGGCAGUUCUCCGUUAUCCGAAGGUAAAUUUAGGUAAAAAUCACGUCAGCCAAGAUGCUGGGUUUGGAAGAUACUGAGUUUGGAAGAUGCCUGCUUCAUUCUGUGGUGUGAAUACCACUCUUGGGUACCUUUGAUGUACCAGUCUUAUUCCUCCCAAAGGAAAUGUGUGCCCUGAGCUUUCCCACUGCUGUGGUAGUGCCUUAUGUGUGCAACCUCCAGAUAAUGUUCACACCUCUGUGGAAUGCGAAGGGAUGGCUACUCCAGUCUUCCCUGAAUUUACUGCUCUGCAGUCAGUGACACAGCAGGAAAAGCAAAGCAUUAUUUUGUUCAUGUCCACCAUUGACAAAUGGCAUUUGGUUUUUGUCAUCAUUUUAUUUCUAGCUAGGUGUGUGCCAACACACAGGUCUUCCAUCCUUUUUAUUUGUUUGUUUGUUUAUCUACUAUCUCCUUGUCACCCACACAUAACUCUCAGUGUUUAGUGUGUCAGAAGCCCUAGGACAAUUUCCAUAUGUUAGCUGUGUGAAGAUGGUGAUUCUGCUGGCUUCAGAAUUGCAGCUACUGCAUUCCAUCAUUAUAAAGAAGAAAAAAGAAAGCUUGGAGGAAAGAGCCCUGCUUUCCUUCUUGAGUCUUGAGGCGGUGGCGGGAGGGAGAGGGGACAGAUUAAUAACACUUAAAAAGUUGACAAAAAGUGCUUUCCACGUGCUGAGAUUCAUAGUUUUAACCUUUGCAUUUUAAAAUUUCAAAGUAGCACUUUCCAUUUCCUAAACUGAGGAGAAACAGCAAUUUCCUCAAAUACUACAAAGACACAAGUGCCAUUUUGCAAAUGCCCUGUAAAUGGGGACCCACUGUAUUUCUGGGAACCAACCUGUCACAGCUAAAAUACAACAGUGUAAAAACCCAUCAUCAGGCUGAGAAACCCAGCCCUUCUUACAUGUUACGUCUACAGUGUUCUAUCUAAAAACUGUUAUCUCUUGGAAAACUAGCUGACACAUUUUAAUGAGGAGAAUCAAAGUGGGUCUGUAGCGUUCCCCUAAUUUUAAUACAUUCAUAAUUAUAGAUUAUAUUGGAAGCCAUCUGUAGAUAAAUGUAACUUCCUGAGAUGGCUUUAACUACUGACCCAUUUUUAUACAGCCCAUUUGUGACAUCAUCAGAUAUGUUCACAUUUCUGAGGCCAAAAUAUAAGGUGGCUUUUUGUUAUUUAUUUAGAAAAUUAAAAUCAUAGAAGGAGCCCUAAUUUUAAAUAUAGUGACUGCAUACAGGUGGUUAUACAAGUCAGUGUUCAGGCCGGGUUUGUGGUUUCUUAGCCCACCAGUUUUACCUACAGAGCAGCAGAGAGAAUGUGGAUUGCGUUAGCAAUCUUCAUAUCUCCCUCGAGGCAGACUCUCCUGGGCCAUGGUUAUAAGCUGGAACCUGGGCUGGAUGCAGCUGUGAGGGGAGUGAGGGAAUGGCAGAGCUCUCCGUUGCAGAAUCACUAAUGGGCAGAGAGGGUGUCCCUUGGCCUUCUAUCUCCCCAGUUCCCUACCAGUUGGGUCACACCUUUGAAUCUUCAGAGUAGCCAGAUACUCUGUGGUGCUGCAAAAUGUGUGUCAGAGAUGUUAAUCUCUGCUGGCUCUGACACUGAUGAGGCAGCUGUAGCUGCUGGCCCACUGUGCUGGUGGGUCUCCGCCAGCAGAGGGUGGCUUUAAGACCGUUUAUGUAUUGCUUUAAUGUUUAAACACUGUAUGGGCUGCAUAUUGAACAUGAUGACCUUACUGCUUCCUACAUUUCCUAACGCUUCAUCUUUAGUUAGUAAUUGUAAGAAGUAUCUAGAAAAGAUUUUUCUCACUGUUUUCUUUUUUUCUCUCUUCUCUCCAGCCUCAUUCUUCCAGGUAAGAAUAACCAAAAAUAACAAAAUUUAGAAAGACAGGUUUGAAACAAUUUUGGUGAUGAUUUGGAACUACUUUAGCCUAGGACCAAAGUACUUGAAAUAAAUAAUUGAAUAAGUUGUCAGUGUUAUAGCAUUUAUUAAGGAUUGAAACAUAAGCCACUAACAGUGAAUGAAAGUCAUCUCGCUGAACUUCAGACAUGCAGCAGGUGCCUGGUCUCAGUGUGGGCUUUCCUUGCACUCUGUGGAGAGAGGACUUCACACAUACCAAGGUUGAUUUCAACACCUCUUAUUCUAAUUCAAGAGUCUAAAGUUUACAGAACACAAGCUAGCAGGAGCCUGAUCCCAAACAGCAUUUGUGCCUGUAUAAUUAUUCUCAUGUGGAGUCCCACUAUGUGCAACAGUUAAUGACUAGAUAGUUAAUUAUGGGAGUAACUUAGGUAGGAAUGGGCUCAAUUCUUGUGCCUGUGUUGCAGAGAGGCAAAUUUGUCUCUUGAGAUGUCUGUUCCUUUCUGUUGACUACAGAGGGAGCAGAGGUUAUAGUAGCUCAGUGUUAGACAUGUGACCUACCCAUCUCACCCGCUGCGCCUGCAGGCUGCAGCUACUACCAUUGGGUAAUGCUCUGCCUCAUCUUUGAAGGUCUGUAGACACUUAAUAGAUUUUAUGGAUCUGAUUUCACAUCCAAGGGAAUAAAGUGUGACAGUUAAAGCCAUGUAAUUAGUAGAUAGUCAUUAACUUUUCUGAAAUCAGUGGAAUUCCCCAUGGGACCAAUUGCACAUGUAUAAGUAGUUCAGACUGUUGUUGACUGGAGAGCUGUUGGGAAACUGUACACAAUAAAAGGUAGUAGUAAGUAAUGAUGGAAAAUGCAUCAUGUUCUAAUAUAUAGUGAUUUAUAUUCUGAAUUUGAUGUUCUGUUGAGAGUCUUCCUACACAUUUUUAAGUAGUUUUAAAAUAUUUGAACAAAAAUUAAAAAAUUUCUGUCCUUCAUUUCCAUUUAUUUACCACUUGGAAACUAUUUUCAAAAUGGAAUUCCUAUCUAAAGUUCUUUAAUUAAAACCACCCAAACAUCUGAGUACCAGCAAUCUUUUGAACUAUUGCAGAAGUAGAGCACAGAUGAGGCCUUAGUAUUUCCUAGAGUAGGUAAAAUUCCUCUCUGUUUGCAGAAAUAGAGCAACCUAGUGACCAACUCAAGCAAAAGAUCAGAGGCAUCUUCCCAAUGGCUACAAACUGCAGAUAACCUCUUGUUUUCACUUCCACAAAACACUGGCAAUUCCAAACAUGAAUAAGAUUCACAUCACCCUCAUCUGCAGGGAUUAAGCUUAAUGAACCUGUUUCCAGAGCCACGUGCAAGAAGUGCAUUUGAUGUAUUUAAAGGCAGAGAAAUGCCUCAACAAUGAUUAAGGCAUUAGAGGAAAAGGUUCAGGAGGAUAAGAGAAGGUUAUUGCAAACACAAGGGAGUAUUCAUGACAUCAUCAUACUCUGUGGCUCUUCCAGAAGUUUCUAGUCUACACCAGACUGUACAGAGCUUUUUGCAGGAUUUAACGUGCCCUGUACUUGUGCUCUGCUUAAGGUUAAUAACAUGGAAAAUCUUGUGAUUCCUUGCUGUAAUGAUCUGUUUGUAUACAGAUAGGCUUUCAGCUUAUGGAAAUGACCCAUGAUUUAUGAAAUAGCCUCUUCCUGUUUGCAAUGAUGCAGUGCAAUAUUGAGUCAUCUCUAACCUUUUACCCUUCCCUGUGGAGGCUCUUUGUUGUUUGCGACCUGUCCUCUGGGAUUUGGAUUGAUGAUACCAGACAGCAGUUUUUACUUGAACUAGUCCCAGUUUUACCAGUUUUGGAUGAAUUACUGCGCUUUCCUAGGAAAAAGGUUUGAUCCACAUCACUGCUGAUUUGAAUUAUGAUAAAUUGCUAAAAAAUUACCUGUGUGUAGUUUGGGUUGAAAUUAUGAAUUCUUGAUUUUAGGGAUUAAUUACAUUUCCUAUAUGCACCUAACUCUCCUUCAAGAGAAUAAUGAGUCCAGGGGCCAAGAAGUUCUGGAUUCGGAGGGAAAGUACACAUUGCAGUACUCCACUAGAUUAUAUUUCCCUGCCUUUUGGAGAGAGCCCCUAAUGCCAGUGAAAUCUCAGCAAUACGACACCUGACCCUUCAAGGGAUGAAAUAGACUAAGUGAAAGCAUAAGAUCUUUCAUCAGGUUUGCACAGUUGGGUAUUUUAUCCUUUCUCUACAGCAUAUAGCAGGGGCUUAGGUAAAGCAGGCUGGAUGGUCCUUCUAAUUUACGGGGGCUUAGUUUGGUUUAACUUUGACUCUGAAAACAUAAUAUCUUGGCUGAAGACCUGCAUUUCUAGUGGCUAUGCAGUCUGCUGGGUGUCCUGCCAAACAGCUGAGGACUGCAGCGCUAUGUUGUUAAUUCCUUUCUACCAGUGAGACGUUCCUGUUCAUCUGUUGGACAGUGUCAUAAGUCACUUAUUGGUCUUGCCUAUUGCUAGACAUAGCUGAUACGGUGUGAACUCAGGCACAGCGUUUAUGUGAGUUGUAUAGCCAUUGUGCCUUCCUAGAACCAACUCACUUGAGCUAUUUACCCUAUAAAGAAAGAGGAAAGAAGAUUGAACAAGCCAAAUUACAUUGGUGGGAUAAAAGAGCCAGCAGUUUUCUAGAUUUGAAAUGCAAUGACUUUAGAUAUUGACAACUGACAGUUUCUUCAUCAAGGCACAGAAUUUUUCAAAGUCUCUGACAAGGAAAAUACAGAUCCAACAUGAUGAGUUUUCUUGUGAAACAUUUUAAUGGAUAUGCUCAGCUUUCCCAGUGGGAUCUUACUUUCUUAGAGAUUAGUCACCAGUUACUUGAUUUGUCUGAACUUUCUGCCAAAAUCAACAGGGAAGGAAUUGACAGGAUGGACGUUAGAAACAAGGAUGUUAUGACAUGUUUGAAGAGAACGCGUACUCAGAGGAGGGUCUACUUCUGUUUCAAAAAGCAGCUUCUUAUCAGCAAAACAAGCUUUACUCUUUCCUGUACGUGUCUUUGCCUUGCAGCAAUGCUGAGAUGAUGUUUCAUCUUGUGAGAAGCCAAAGGAAAGAGAUUUACUAAAGGCAGAACAACUUUGCACAUGCUAUUGCAACUCCAGUCAUUCUAUUGAGUUCAGCUAAGACAAGCACUAAAACCGGCUGGGACUGUUAGGAUUUGAAGUCUUUGCAGUUACUACAGGGUUUGUUCUUCUACUGAAUCAACACAUCCUGCAGCUUCUAUGACAAAGGAAAGAAGUACAUACUGGUACAACAGCACAGGAAAAUACUACCCUGCCGUGUGGUCAUGGGUGACAUGUCAGUCUCCCAAGGCAAAUCAAUAAUGCAAAACUUCAGUUGUUGAAAAAUGCUGGGUUUUAAUACACAAAAAUCAAACUUUGCAGCAGAGAUGUGAGGCAGUACACGGAGCAGUUGUAUCUUUCAGAAAUCUAACUGAACACAAGUAGCCAGGAGUCCAAGUACUAACUUAAAACAGCAAUGUUACCGCUUCUCUCUCCAUUCUUCUCCUCACUCCUCCCUGAAACACUACAACCAAAACUGACAGCACACCACAUCUUCCCAAGCCUCAAUAUUCACUCACACGUAGAGGAGAACAUGGGAGGUUUUUUUAAAAUCCCCCUGACAACUGGUACAAGAAAACUGUUUAACUAUUAGUGGAAUGUCCUCUCAUAAAAUGCCAAACAGUCUUGUGGUUUUUAGGUCAAAAGCUAACAAGAUGAACUAUGGGCUCUUAUUACUUCUUCUAUUUAUCCACAGUAAAAAUCUGGAGUGCUUUAAAAAUGUUGAGAAUAUGACAGUGAUUGACAACAAAAGAAGGGAUGUAAG